AACGGGGGGAGAGCAACAGGGAUUGCCCCAGUAACGGCGAGUGAAGCGGCAACAGCUCAAAUUUGAAAUCUGGCCUCCGGGUCCGAGUUGUAAUUUGUAGAGGAUGCUUUUGGCGAGGUGCCUUCCGAGUUCCCUGGAACGGGACGCCAUAGAGGGUGAGAGCCCCGUCUGGUCGGACACCGAGCCUCUGUAAAGCUCCUUCGACGAGUCGAGUAGUUUGGGAAUGCUGCUCAAAAUGGGAGGUAUAUGUCUUCUAAAGCUAAAUAUUGGCCAGAGACCGAUAGCGCACAAGUAGAGUGAUCGAAAGAUGAAAAGCACUUUGAAAAGAGGGUUAAAAAGUACGUGAAAUUGUUGAAAGGGAAGCGCCUAUGACCAGACUUGGGCCCGGUGAAUCAUCCAGCGUUCUCGCUGGUGCACUUUGCCGGGCACAGGCCAGCAUCAGUUUGGCGCGGGGGAAAAAGGUUUUGGGAAUGUGGCUCCCUCGGGAGUGUUAUAGCCCAUUGCGUAAUACCCUGCGCCGGACUGAGGUACGCGCAUCGCAAGGAUGCUGGCGUAAUGGUCAUCAGCGACCCGUCUUGAAACACGGACCAAGGAGUCGUCUUCGUAUGCGAGUGUUCGGGUGUCAAACCCCUACGCGUAAUGAAAGUGAACGCAGGUGAGAGCUUCGGCGCAUCAUCGACCGAUCCUGAUGUUCUCGGAUGGAUUUGAGUAAGAGCAUACGGGGCCGGACCCGAAAGAAGGUGAACUAUGCCUGUAUAGGGUGAAGCCAGAGGAAACUCUGGUGGAGGCUCGCAGCGGUUCUGACGUGCGAAUCGAUCGUCAAAUAUGGGCAUGGGGGCGAAAGACUAAUCGAACCUUCUAGUAGCUGGUUUCCGCCGAGC
Molecule: ribosomal RNA, 881 nt
Filed under: Samsoniella neopupicola
Lineage: Eukaryota; Fungi; Ascomycota; Sordariomycetes; Hypocreales; Cordycipitaceae
Description: Samsoniella sp. WC-2022d partial large subunit ribosomal RNA
Rfam family: Eukaryotic large subunit ribosomal RNA
Source: RNAcentral